GACGAACGCUGGCGGCGUGCUUAACACAUGCAAGUCGAACGGAAAGGCCCUGCUUGCCGGGUACUCGAGUGGCGAACUGGUGAGUAACACGUGGGUGAUCUGCCCUGCACUUCGGGAUAAGCUUGGGAAACUGGGUCUAAUACCGGAUAGGAGCCAUCUUUAGUGUGGUGGUUGGAAAGUUUUUUCGGUGUAGGAUGAGCUCGCGGCCUAUCAGCUUGUUGGUGGGGUAAUGGCCUACCAAGGCGGCGACGGGUAGCCGGCCUGAGAGGGUGUACGGCCACAUUGGGACUGAGAGACGGCCCAGAGUCCUACGGGAGGCAGCAGGGGGGAAUAUUGCACAAUGGGCGCCAGCCUGAUGCAGCGACGCCGCGUGGGGGAUGAAGGCCUUCGGGUUGUAAACUCCUUUCGCUAGGGACGAAGCGUUGUUGCGACGGUACCUAGAGAAGAAGCACCGGCUAACUACGUG
This 466-nucleotide ribosomal RNA is filed under the name uncultured bacterium. RNAcentral's name for it is "partial 16S ribosomal RNA". It matches the Rfam family "Bacterial small subunit ribosomal RNA", at positions 28 to 507 of the family's 1533-position model. The record is from RNAcentral.